UGGGUGCGAGACUGUUCAUGGGCUGGG
Molecule: non-coding RNA, 27 nt
Filed under: Mus musculus (house mouse)
Lineage: Eukaryota; Metazoa; Chordata; Mammalia; Rodentia; Muridae
Source: RNAcentral